AUACGGAGGAUCCAAGCGUUAUCCGGAUUUAUUGGGUUUAAAGGGUGCGCAGGCGGAAGAUUAAGUCGGCGGUGAAAUUUUGCAGCUCAACUGUAAAAGUGCCAUCGAUACUGGUUUUCUUGAGUGUGGAUGAAGUAGGCGGAAUUUGUGGUGUAGCGGUGAAAUGCAUAGAUAUCACGAGGAACUCCGAUUGCGCAGGCAGCGUACUAGGCCAUAACUGACGCUCAGGCACGAAGGCGUGGGGAUCAAACAGGAUUAGAUACCCUGGUAGUCCACGCAGUAAACGAUGAUUACUAGCUGUUUGCGAUACACAGUAAGCGGCUUAGCGAAAGCGUUAAGUAAUCCACCUGGGGAGUACGUUCGCAAGAAUGAAACUCAAAGGAAUUGACGGGG
RNAcentral lists this ribosomal RNA (393 nucleotides) under uncultured bacterium. RNAcentral describes it as "partial 16S ribosomal RNA". It matches the Rfam family "Bacterial small subunit ribosomal RNA", at positions 523 to 918 of the family's 1533-position model. The record is from RNAcentral.